Long non-coding RNA from Diabrotica virgifera virgifera (western corn rootworm), 1158 nucleotides. RefSeq lists it as uncharacterized. Lineage: Eukaryota; Metazoa; Arthropoda; Insecta; Coleoptera; Chrysomelidae. The transcript is spliced from 2 exons. The record is from RefSeq and is a predicted model, not a curated record.
UGGUAUUAGUUAAAUCAACUUGUUUCUCUUGUUUUCACCACUUUCUCCUAGAGAGGAUAUACUUUUCUAUAGAAUAAGUAUUUAACAUUUUUUUAAUUAUUUUUUAGAAGUUUCAAUUAUGUUGUUUAUGUGUGGUUUAUGUAAAUAUAAAAAUUAUUAUAUUUUAAAUAAACAUGGUUUUUGUUGUUUUUAACAUAUAAUAACCUGUCAUCUGUCAUUUCUUCUUCUUUUUAGCUGUCAUCUGUCAUUUCUUCUUCUUUUUUGGGCUGUCAUAUGUCAUUUCUUCUUCUUUUUUGGCUGUCAAGUGUCAUUUUUUGAGCAAAUAAUUUAGUAGCAUUUUUGGUAGAUUUUAUCCUCCAUCUAGUAGAAUUUAGUAGAUUUUAUACCUAAAUCUAGUAGAAAACGACGUUCGGUCGUUGGCAACCCUGGACAAGGAACUUCCGAAUAUGGCCUAACUGGGGGCACAUAACAUAACAUAACCUAAUCCUAAUAUUUACAUUUGUAAAGAAUAUCCUGUUUGUUUUUAUUGUCGAUUGUGCAGCGAAAUUGUGUGCAGCAAAUCAAAUAUAAAGUAGUUUAUCGCCUACAGAACUGAAUUAGUCCAUAGCAGUUAUCAGUUUUUCUUUCUUGGGAAGCUUAUACAUGUAACUUGUAUUGUUGUAAAUUGUGGGAGUAGGGCAGACAGGGAAAAGUCUUAUUUUGUACUGUUCCCAAGGCUCCCCAUGCAAUACAUUUAAAUGAAUUAUCCAAACAAAGCCGGGGACAAUGGAUAAAAGCCACAAGAAGAACAGAUAUAAGGGAACUAAAAUUAAAAUAUGAAAAGUAAACAUUUUAUAAGUGGAACAACCACCAGAUAUUUAAAAGGUAUAAAAAGAAGAAACUGCUGGAAUUUCAAAACAAAUGUGUUUGACUAGUAAAGAUUUGGAUAAAUAACAGGAGUUACUUUGGGCUAUAGCUAUGUGCAGAUUUAUUUCCUUGUGGCUUCCUAUGUUAAUUCUUAUUAAUUAUACACUUAAAUAUGUUUUUAGUCUCAGGAAGAUUUUAUAUUUGAUUAUUUUUGAAUAAACAUUAUUAUUAUUAUUACCUUAAUUUCCAUUAAAUAAAUUAACUGUAAUCAAUAAAGUAAUCGUUUAAUUGUUAAUAAAUUAUCAAGUAUGA